UCAGGGGUAGGGGAGCGUUGUAUGCCGGGUUGAAGGUAGACCGGAAGGACUGCUGGACUGCAUACAAGUGAGAAUGCCGGUAUGAGUAACGAAAAGAUCAGUGAGAAUCUGAUCCGCCGAAAACCUAAGGGUUCCUGAGGAAGGCUCGUCCGCUCAGGGUAAGUCGGGACCUAAGGCGAGGCCGAAAGGCGUAGUCGAAGGACAACAGGUCGAAAUUCCUGUACCACCGUAAAUCGUUACGAGCGAUGGGGGGACGCAGUAGGGUAGUGACGCAGACUGAUGGAUGUCUGUCCAAGCAGUGAGGCUGAUGUGUAGGCAAAUCCGCACAUCGUUAAGGCUGGGCUGUGAUGGGGAGUGAAAAUUACAGUAGCGAAGGUCAUGAUCUCAGACUGCCAAGAAAAGCCUCUAGCCAGAUGAAGGUGCCCGUACCGUAAACCGACACAGGUAGGUGAGAAGAGAAUUCUAAGGCGCGCGGAAGAACUCUCGUUAAGGAACUCGGCAAAAUGACCCCGUAACUUCGGGAGAAGGGGUACCCCGGUAGUGUGAAUAGCACGAGGGGGUCGCAGUGAAAAGGCCCAAGCGACUGUUUAGCAAAAACACAGGUCUGUGCGAAGCCGCAAGGCGAAGUAUACGGGCUGACGCCUGCCCGGUGCUGGAAGGUUAAGGGGAGUGGUUAGGAGUAAUCCGAAGCUAUGAACCGAAGCCCCAGUAAACGGCGGCCGUAACUAUAACGGUCCUAAGGUAGCGAAAUUCCUUGUCAGGUAAAUUCUGACCCGCACGAAUGGCGUAACGACUUGGGCGCUGUCUCAACGAGAGAUCCGGUGAAAUUUUAAUACCUGUGAAGAUGCAGGUUACCCGCGACAAGACGGAAAGACCCCAUGGAGCUUUACUGCAGCUUGAUAUUGGAUUUGGGUACGAUCUGUACAGGAUAGGUGGGAGCCUAAGAAGCAUGAGCGCCAGCUUGUGUGGAGGCAACGUUGGGAUACCACCCUGAUCGUAUCUAGGUUCUAACUUGGUACCGUGAUCCGGUGCGAGGACAGUGUCAGGUGGGCAGUUUGACUGGGGCGGUCGCCUCCUAAAGAGUAACGGAGGCGCCCAAAGGUUCCCUCAGAAUGGUUGGAAAUCAUUCGCAGAGUGUAAAGGCACAAGGGAGCUUGACUGCGAGACCUACAAGUCGAGCAGGGACGAAAGUCGGGCUUAGUGAUCCGGUGGUACCGCAUGGAAGGGCCAUCGCUCAACGGAUAAAAGCUACCCUGGGGAUAACAGGCUUAUCUCCCCCAAGAGUCCACAUCGACGGGGAGGUUUGGCACCUCGAUGUCGGCUCAUCGCAUCCUGGGGCUGAAGUAGGUCCCAAGGGUUGGGCUGUUCGCCCAUUAAAGCGGUACGCGAGCUGGGUUCAGAACGUCGUGAGACAGUUCGGUCCCUAUCUGUCGUGGGCGUAGGAAAUUUGAGAGGAGCUGUCCUUAGUACGAGAGGACCGGGAUGGACAUACCGCUGGUGUACCAGUUGUUCCGCCAGGAGCAUCGCUGGGUAGCUAUGUAUGGAAGGGAUAAGCGCUGAAAGCAUCUAAGCGCGAAGCCCACCUCAAGAUGAGAUUUCCCAAUUAGUAAGACCCCUUGAAGACGACGAGGUAGAUAGGCUGG
RNAcentral lists this ribosomal RNA (1643 nucleotides) under Paenibacillus gallinarum. RNAcentral's name for it is "Paenibacillus sp. Sa2BVA9 partial 23S ribosomal RNA". It matches the Rfam family "Bacterial large subunit ribosomal RNA", at positions 1222 to 2864 of the family's 2925-position model. The record is from RNAcentral. Lineage: Bacteria; Bacillati; Bacillota; Bacilli; Caryophanales; Paenibacillaceae.